This 273-nucleotide ribosomal RNA is filed under the name uncultured Chryseomicrobium sp. RNAcentral's name for it is "partial 16S ribosomal RNA". It matches the Rfam family "Bacterial small subunit ribosomal RNA", at positions 356 to 621 of the family's 1533-position model. Lineage: Bacteria; Bacillati; Bacillota; Bacilli; Caryophanales; Caryophanaceae. The record is from RNAcentral.
AGGGAAUCUUCCACAAUGGACGAAAGUCUGAUGGAGCAACGCCGCGUGAGUGAAGAAGGUUCUCGGAUCGUAAAACUCUGUUGUGAGGGAAGAACAAGUACCGGAGUAACUGCCGGUACCUUGACGGUACCUCAUUACAAAGCCACGGCUAACUACGUGCCAGCAGCCGCGGUAAUACGUAGGUGGCAAGCGUUGUCCGGAAUCAUUGGGCGUAAAGCGCGCGCAGGCGGUCCCUUAAGUCUGAUGUCAAAGCCCACGGCUCAACCGUGGAGG